Molecule: small RNA, 249 nt
Filed under: Pan troglodytes (chimpanzee)
Lineage: Eukaryota; Metazoa; Chordata; Mammalia; Primates; Hominidae
Description: processed transcript
Source: RNAcentral
CCGCCCGCCCCGCCCCGUACUCACCGGGCCCCGCGGCCCCGUCCAUCCGGCCCCCGGGUUGCUCCGAGCGGCGGCGGCGGAGGAGGCGUCUAAGCCGCGGGGGCCACGGCCGGGGAGAGGGGAAGGGGAAGCACCCCGGGGCGCGCGCGAAGGGCGCCGUACCACCACCCCGAGGGGGCGCUGUCGGGCGCGGGGAAGGGGCCUGGAGGGGGCGCUGUGGGGCCGUCCGGUGCCACAGCGCCGCAGCAC